AUUGAACGCUGGCGGCAGGCCUAACACAUGCAAGUCGACCGAGUGGCGGACGGGUGAGUAAUGUCUGGGAAACUGCCUGCUGUAGGGGGAUAACUACUGGAAACGGUAGCUAAUACCGCAUACCAUCAGAUGUGCCCAGAUGGGCUUAGCUAGUAGGUGGGGUAAUGGCUCACCUAGGCUACGAUCCCUAGCUGUUCUGAGAGGAGGACCAGCCACAAUGGAACUGAGAAACGGUCCAGAAUCAUACGGGAGGCAGCAGUGGGGAAUAUUGCACAAUGGGAGCAAGCCUGAUGCAGCAAUGCCGAGUGUAUGAAGAAGGCCUUCGGGUUGUAAAGCACUUGCAGCGAGGAGGCGUUACUCGCAGAAGAAGCACCGGCUAACUCCGUGCCAGCCGCCGCGGUAAUAC
RNAcentral lists this ribosomal RNA (406 nucleotides) under uncultured bacterium. RNAcentral describes it as "partial 16S ribosomal RNA". It matches the Rfam family "Bacterial small subunit ribosomal RNA", at positions 30 to 526 of the family's 1533-position model. The record is from RNAcentral.